This 865-nucleotide ribosomal RNA is filed under the name Bacillus subtilis. RNAcentral describes it as "bacterial SSU rRNA". It matches the Rfam family "Bacterial small subunit ribosomal RNA", at positions 56 to 902 of the family's 1533-position model. Lineage: Bacteria; Bacillati; Bacillota; Bacilli; Caryophanales; Bacillaceae. The record is from RNAcentral.
UGCAAGUCGAGCGGACAGAUGGGAGCUUGCUCCCUGAUGUUAGCGGCGGACGGGUGAGUAACACGUGGGUAACCUGCCUGUAAGACUGGGAUAACUCCGGGAAACCGGGGCUAAUACCGGAUGGUUGUUUGAACCGCAUGGUUCAAACAUAAAAGGUGGCUUCGGCUACCACUUACAGAUGGACCCGCGGCGCAUUAGCUAGUUGGUGAGGUAACGGCUCACCAAGGCAACGAUGCGUAGCCGACCUGAGAGGGUGAUCGGCCACACUGGGACUGAGACACGGCCCAGACUCCUACGGGAGGCAGCAGUAGGGAAUCUUCCGCAAUGGACGAAAGUCUGACGGAGCAACGCCGCGUGAGUGAUGAAGGUUUUCGGAUCGUAAAGCUCUGUUGUUAGGGAAGAACAAGUACCGUUCGAAUAGGGCGGUACCUUGACGGUACCUAACCAGAAAGCCACGGCUAACUACGUGCCAGCAGCCGCGGUAAUACGUAGGUGGCAAGCGUUGUCCGGAAUUAUUGGGCGUAAAGGGCUCGCAGGCGGUUUCUUAAGUCUGAUGUGAAAGCCCCCGGCUCAACCGGGGAGGGUCAUUGGAAACUGGGGAACUUGAGUGCAGAAGAGGAGAGUGGAAUUCCACGUGUAGCGGUGAAAUGCGUAGAGAUGUGGAGGAACACCAGUGGCGAAGGCGACUCUCUGGUCUGUAACUGACGCUGAGGAGCGAAAGCGUGGGGAGCGAACAGGAUUAGAUACCCUGGUAGUCCACGCCGUAAACGAUGAGUGCUAAGUGUUAGGGGGUUUCCGCCCCUUAGUGCUGCAGCUAACGCAUUAAGCACUCCGCCUGGGGAGUACGGUCGCAAGACUGAAACUC